GUGCUCACUUCAGCAGCAUAUAUACUAAAAUUGGAACGAUACAGAGAAGAUUAGCAUGGUCCCUGCACAAGGAUGACACGCACAUUUGUGAAAUGUUUCAUUGAUAG
Molecule: small nuclear RNA, 107 nt
Filed under: Salvator merianae (Argentine black and white tegu)
Lineage: Eukaryota; Metazoa; Chordata; Lepidosauria; Squamata; Teiidae
Source: RNAcentral